GCAAGGUGCAUGGCAGACGGGUGAGUAACGCGUAGGGAAUCUACCUUUUUGUGGGGAAUAACGCUCCGAAAGGAGUGGUAAUACCGCAUGAGACCGCAGACUGGGAUGUUUGUGGUGAAACCUGGGGACCGCAAGGCCUGGGGCAAGAAGAGGAUCCUGCGUCUGAUUAGCUAGUUGGCGGGGUAAUGGCCCACCAAGGCGACGAUCAGUAGCCGGCCUGAGAGGGUGAUCGGCCACACUGGAACUGAGACACGGUCCAGACUCCUACGGGAGGCAGCAGUGGGGAAUUUUGCGCAAUGGACGAGAGUCUGACGCAGCAACGCCGCGUGGGUGAUGAAGGUCUUCGGACUGUAAAACCCUGUCGUCAGGGACGAAGGUAUGGGAGUUAAUAGCUCUUAUGCUUGACGGUACCUGGAGAGGAAGCCCCGGCUAACUCUGUGCCAGCAGCCGCGGUAAUACAGAGGGGGCAAGCGUUAUUCGGAAUUAUUGGGCGUAAAGGGCGCGUAGGCGGUUGAGUAAGUCAGAUGUGUAAUCCCCGAGCUCAACUUGGGAACUGCAUCUGAGACUGGAAGGCUAGAGUACUGGAGAGGGU
Molecule: ribosomal RNA, 592 nt
Filed under: uncultured bacterium
Lineage: Bacteria
Description: bacterial SSU rRNA
Rfam family: Bacterial small subunit ribosomal RNA
Source: RNAcentral